RNAcentral lists this ribosomal RNA (261 nucleotides) under uncultured archaeon. Its description in RNAcentral is "partial 16S ribosomal RNA". It matches the Rfam family "Archaeal small subunit ribosomal RNA", at positions 748 to 1009 of the family's 1478-position model. The record is from RNAcentral.
CAGCCCUAAACGAUGCGCGUUAGGUGUAUCGGUGACCACGAGUCACCGAGGUGCCGAAGGGAAACCGUGAAACGUGCCGCCUGGGAAGUACGGUCGCAAGGCUGAAACUUAAAGGAAUUGGCGGGGGAGCACCACAACGGGUGGGGCCUGCGGUUUAAUUGGACUCAACGCCGGGAAGCUCACCGGAUAAGACAGCGGAAUGAUUGCCGGGCUGAAGACCCUGCAUGACCAGCUGAGAGGAGGUGCAUGGCGUAGACGUCU